AUGCCUUCAGAUCAAAAUAAUAAUUUGACUUCUCUCAUUUUCCAGAUGAAUAAUGAAAUGCAAAUGCAAAACCAACUCCAAAUGCAUAUUUCACAGAUGCAAUUGCAAUUUUUCCAGUGGAAAAAUGAAAAGCAGACCCAACUGCAUAUGCAGCUUUCUGAAAUGAAAAACAUGCAGAUGCAGCUUUUCGAUCUGCAACAGGAAGUCACAAAAGUCCAAGCUAUUGGAGAUGCCUCCCAUGUGGGAGGGGCUCUAACCCUACGCUCUGCUGAUUUGCCUCCAGAUAAGAUGGAAGCGCUGCAACCGGAUGUACUGACUGGCUCUGAACUACAGGAAACACACAGAAUGUCCCAUAUUGCUCCAUCCACACUGAUGAUUAGUGCAACCUCCACGGACGGUGGCCCGGCGCCCCCUGGUGUCGAGCCUGAUGAACUACUGUUGGGACCUCUCCUGCCUCAGGGGAGGGGUGGUAAGCCCACAGUAUCUGUUAUAUUGCAACAAGGGCAUUCCUGCAACGCGCUUUUAGAUACUGGUUUAGAUUUUACAAUCAUGAGCAAGUCUCUUUUCGACCGCGUCUGCCUGGAUGUAGGUGGAGGCGUACGCCCUCCAGAACUGAUUUCCUGUGCAUUAACUAUCCGUGUUUUCUCUGAUUCUACAGUGCUCUUGUCUUCUAAGACUCUGCUCCAAUUCUCGAUCGGCCCUACGAGCUUAACGCACCCCGUGUACAUCUCCGAGCAUGCAAGGAUGCCUUUCACCCUUGGCAUGGACUUUCUGAGGCGCAUUGAUGCUUUCAUUGAUGUAGAAGGGGGGGAACUCUGGUCAGGUGUUGUAGAACCUCUGCCCAUCGUUCUGCCUCCUGACCUCCACCGUCUCACAGUUGGUAUCUCUGAGCAGGGGGGAACAACAUGUUCACCACCUAGCCCAGAAGCUUUGCCACCACAGAUUCAGCUUUCAUCAGAGUCACAUUCUGUUGAUUUCUCUAACGUAGCUGAGGCUCCUACCACUGUAGUCGAGCGAGACAAACAACAACUUAGGUUAAAAUAUCCUGACUGUAAAAAUCUUUCUCUUUCCACCAUGUGGGCAGGUAAACACCUUUCCAGCUACAUCGGUGGCCAGAAACUCAGCUUGGAAACGUGA
Molecule: long non-coding RNA, 1137 nt
Filed under: Nothobranchius furzeri (turquoise killifish)
Lineage: Eukaryota; Metazoa; Chordata; Actinopteri; Cyprinodontiformes; Nothobranchiidae
Description: lncRNA (ENSNFUG00015010088.1)
Source: RNAcentral